UACGUAGGGGGCAAGCGUUGUCCGGAAUCAUUGGGCGUAAAGCGCGUGUAGGCGGCCAGAAAAGUCCGCUGUGAAAACUCGAGGCUCAACUUCGAGCUGUCGGUGGAAACUUUCUGGCUAGAGUCCGGAAGAGGAGAAUGGAAUUCCUGGUGUAGCGGUGAAAUGCGCAGAUAUCAGGAAGAACACCCGUGGCGAAGGCGGUUCUCUGGGACGGUACUGACGCUGAGGUGCGAAAGCGUGGGGAGCGAACAGG
Molecule: ribosomal RNA, 253 nt
Filed under: uncultured bacterium
Lineage: Bacteria
Description: partial 16S ribosomal RNA
Rfam family: Bacterial small subunit ribosomal RNA
Source: RNAcentral